CUUCCCUCAUUUAACCGACCUUUCCUCUCCCGCUCCACACACCCGCUCCUCCCCGCAUCUUCAUCUACAAUUCCUUCAAUUCUUCCGUUUCUUCAUCUACGAUUCUUCGGGUUUUCAACCCCAACCCCCUCCUCUAUGAUUCUUAGGAUUCUUCCAUUUCUUCAAUUCUUCCCUCAGUUUUUGCCUUUAUUAUUAACGUUACUGAUUUUAGAGCUUUACAUUUCUUAACUAAAAUUUAAGCUUAUUUGCGGUUGUAUAAAUAACGUAGUGCUUCAGUUUUGAUGGAGCACAGACGACGUUUCAAUUGUAUAAUGAUUAAAAAUAACCAACAACUACAACAAGGAAAGCAAGUGUUGAGCAGAAAUCAGAAGGACACGGUGGUGCACAGACAAAGUUAAAAGCCCAACCUUUAAAUAAGAAGGUACUUGUGCCAUUGCUAACGGAUCAGAAGAAAUGGAGGCAGUAAUGAUUAUCGACAUUCUACGUAGAGCCAAAGCUAAUGUUGUUGUGGCGAUAGUUAAAGAUGGAUUAAAAAUUGUAGCAUCUAGAAAAGUGAAAAUAGUAGCAGAUAAUCUUUUGGAUGAGGCUGUUAAAUUACAAAAUGACCUAAGUGUUCUGUCGGUCAGGAGGGCUUCCUGGUGCACAAGCAUUCACAAACUCGGCAAAGUUCGUUGAAUUGCUGAAAAAGCAGGCUGAAUCAAAUAAAUUGUAUGGGGCAAUAUGUGCUUCUCCAGCUCUAGCGCUUGAGCCACAUGGUUUACUCAAAGUUCGACUUCAAGGCUCACCCUUGUGUGUGAUUGAAUCAACCAUUUGUUAGUCUUACAGAUAAUAUUCUCUAUAUUUUCUUUUUCUUUUUCUGAUUUUCUUUUUUAAGGGUAAGGAGGUAAAAGCAUACCUUGCAAUGUGCAGCAAGCUUUCUGAUCAAUAUGAAUGUAGAAUAGGGUGGUGGUUGAUGGAAACCUGAUCACUAACAGAGGGCCAGAGACUUCCAUGGAGUUUGUGCAGGCCAUAGUAGAUAAGUUCUUUGGCCAUGAAAAAACCCUCGAUCUUGCAAGAAGCCUGGUUUUUGUAUAAUGAGCUAAUAAUAGCCCUGUGGUGGAGAGCUGUGCAUAAGGAUGUAAUCAAUAGUUUUUGUAUAAACUAAGUUGCAACGACCCACUAUCUGCUGCAGUUUUUGUAAGAGUAUUGUGUGUUCAAUCGGUUUGAGUCGUCUGUGAUUGUACUUAAACCAUCGGUUCAAAUACACGAUGAAGUAAUGUCACAGUAAGACUAAUAAAAUGUCACCAUGUAUGUAUACUAUUUAAA
This is an RNA transcript of Asparagus officinalis (garden asparagus), 1305 nucleotides long. It is a transcript of the gene named protein DJ-1 homolog B-like, with no coding region annotated. The transcript has 5 exons. The record is from RefSeq and is a predicted model, not a curated record. NCBI's taxonomy places the organism in Eukaryota, Viridiplantae, Streptophyta, Magnoliopsida, Asparagales, Asparagaceae.